AUGUCGAGGCCGAGGUUGGACGGCAAGGUGGCCAUCGUGACGGGCGGCGCGAGCGGCAUCGGCGAGGCGGCCGCGCGGCUCUUCGCGGCCAGCGGCGCCACGGUGGUCAUCGCGGACAUACAGGACGCGCUGGGCGAGGCGGUCGCGGCCUCCAUCGCGGAGUCCGGCGCGUGCUGCACGUACGCGCGGUGCGACGUGACGGACGAGGCCCAGGUGGAGGCCACGGUGGCGGCGGCCGUCGCGGCGCACGGCCGGCUCGACGUCAUGCUCAGCAACGCCGGCGUGCUGCUCCCGACGGGCCCCGUCACGGACAUGGACCUGUCCGCGCUGGACCGCGUCAUGGCCGUCAACUUCCGGGGCGCCGCAGCGUGCGUCAAGCACGCGGCCCGCGCCAUGGUGGCGGCCGGCGUCCGGGGCGCCAUCGUGUGCACGGGGAGCGUGGCGUGCGUGCAGGGCGGGUUCGGCCCGGCGUCGUACACGGCGUCCAAGCACGCGCUGCUGGGCCUGGUGCGCGCCGCGGCGGGCGAGCUCGGGCGGCACGGCGUGCGCGUCAACCUCGUGUCGCCCGGCGGAGUGGCGACGCCGCUCAGCUGCGCCGUGGUGGGCGUGGGAGCCGAGGAGAUGGAGGCCAUGACAGAGGCCCACAACGUGCUGCGCGGGAAGGUGCUGCGCGCGGCCGACGUGGCGGAAGCGGCGCUGUUCCUCGCGUCCGACCAGGCCGGCUUCAUCAGCGGCCACAACCUCGUCGUCGACGGCGCCACCACCGCCGUGAACCCCGCCGUGCUGCGCUCUAUCGGGCUGUGA
This 804-nucleotide ribosomal RNA is filed under the name Triticum aestivum (bread wheat). RNAcentral describes it as "partial small subunit ribosomal RNA". The record is from RNAcentral. Lineage: Eukaryota; Viridiplantae; Streptophyta; Magnoliopsida; Poales; Poaceae.